This 489-nucleotide ribosomal RNA is filed under the name uncultured bacterium. RNAcentral describes it as "bacterial SSU rRNA". It matches the Rfam family "Bacterial small subunit ribosomal RNA", at positions 21 to 507 of the family's 1533-position model. The record is from RNAcentral.
GGCUCAGAUUGAAACGCUGGCGGCAUGCCUUACACAUGCAAGUCGAACGGCAGCGGACCUUCGGGUGCCGGCGAGUGGCGAACGGGUGAGUAAUGCAUCGGAACGUGCCAUUGAGUGGGGGAUAACGUAGCGAAAGUUGCGCUAAUACCGCAUAUUCUGUGAGCAGGAAAGCAGGGGACCGCAAGGCCUUGCGCUCUUUGAGCGGCCGAUGUCAGAUUAGCUAGUUGGUGAGGUAACGGCUUACCAAGGCGACGAUCUGUAGCGGGUCUGAGAGGAUGAUCCGCCACACUGGAACUGAGACACGGUCCAGACUCCUACGGGAGGCAGCAGUGGGGAAUUUUGGACAAUGGGGCAACCCUGAUCCAGCCAUGCCGCGUGAGUGAAGAAGGCCUUCGGGUUGUAAAGCUCUUUCGGCCGGGAAGAAAUCGCAUGGGUUAAUACCCUGUGUGGAUGACGGUACCGGCAUAAGAAGCACCGGCUAACUACGUG